Orcinus orca (killer whale) is the source of this 7583-nucleotide RNA transcript. It is a transcript of the gene named afadin, adherens junction formation factor, with no coding region annotated. The record is from RefSeq and is a predicted model, not a curated record. The transcript has 31 exons. NCBI's taxonomy places the organism in Eukaryota, Metazoa, Chordata, Mammalia, Artiodactyla, Delphinidae.
ACCGGCCGGCGGGCUGACGCGGGGCGGGCAGGCGGCUGCGGCGGGGAGCGGGGCCGGUGGAGGCGGUUGAGGAGCCCGCGGAGCCCGAGAGCUCGAGAGCUGAGGCGGCCAGACGCGGCCGCGGAGCCGGGAGCGCGGAACCGGGCGCGCGGAGCCGGGAGCGCGGGGCGCCGGCCGGCGGGGCCGAGCCCCGAGCCGGGCCCGCAGACCUAGGCGCGUGGCCCCCCGCCCGACCCCGACCCGGCCCCGACCCCGCGGCGGCCCGGGCGGGCGGGCGAGCGCGGCCGGAGGAUGUCGGCGGGCGGCCGCGACGAGGAGCGGCGGAAGCUGGCCGACAUCAUCCAGCACUGGAACGCCAACCGGCUGGACCUGUUCGAGAUCAGCCAGCCCACCGAGGAUUUGGAGUUCCAUGGAGUGAUGAGAUUUUAUUUUCAAGAUAAAGCUGCUGGGAACUUUGCAACAAAAUGUAUCCGGGUCUCUAGUACCGCCACCACUCAGGACGUGCUGGAAACGCUCGCCGAGAAAUUCCGCCCUGACAUGCGGAUGUUGUCAUCACCCAAGUACUCCCUGUACGAAGUGCAUGUCAGCGGAGAAGAAAGAAGAUUGGAUAUAGACGAGAAACCCCUUGUUGUGCAGUUGAAUUGGAAUAAGGAUGAUCGAGAGGGCAGAUUUGUUCUUAAGAAUGAGAACGAUGCCAUUCCUGCUAAGAAGGCUCAAAGUAACGGACCUGAAAAGCAGGAAAAAGAAGGUGUUAUCCAGAACUUCAAGAGAACUCUCUCAAAGAAAGAAAAGAAGGAAAAAAAGAAGCGAGAAAAAGAGGCAAUGAGGCAGGCGUCUGAUCGAGACGAUAGACCUUUCCAUGGGGAUGACACUGAAAAUUCUCGACUGGCUGCUGAGGUUUACAAAGACAUGCCUGAAACUAGCUUUACCCGAACGAUUUCUAAUCCCGAGGUGGUUAUGAAACGACGGAGACAACAAAAACUGGAAAAGAGAAUGCAGGAAUUUCGGAGCUCAGAUGGGCGGCCUGAUUCAGGUGGGACAUUGAGAAUUUAUGCAGAUAGUUUAAAACCAAAUAUUCCCUACAAGACGAUCCUGCUGUCUACCACAGAUCCUGCAGACUUCGCUGUCGCUGAAGCUCUAGAGAAGUACGGUCUGGAGAAGGAAAAUCCUAAGGAUUAUUGCAUCGCCCGCGUGGUGCUUCCUCCUGGGGCCCAGCAUUCUGAUGAGAAAGCUGCUGAAGAAAUCAUCCUUGAUGACGACGAGUGUCCUCUACAGAUCUUCAGGGAGUGGCCGAAUGACCGAGGGAUUUUAGUCUUUCAGCUGAAGAGGAGGCCACCAGACUACAUCCCAAAGAAAAGCCAGAAGCACAUGGAUGGGAAGCCGCUGCACGGGAAGGAGCGAGUUGAUGGGUCUGGCUACGGCGCUGCACUCCCACCGGAGAAACUGCCCUACCUCGUAGAGCUGAGCCCAGAUGGUUCCGACUCCAGAGACAAGCCAAAGCUCUACCGCCUUCAGCUGAGUGUCACUGAGGUUGGGACAGAGAAGUUCGACGACGGCUCCAUCCAGUUGUUUGGUUCAGGAAUUGAACCCCAUCACUGUGACCUCACAAACAUGGAUGGAGUGGUCACGGUCACGCCGAGAAGCAUGGAUGCCGAGACCUACGUGGACGGGCAGCGCAUCUCGGAGACGACGAUGCUGCACAGCGGGAUGAAGGUGCAGUUUGGGGUGUCCCAUGUGUUUAAGUUCGUGGACCCCAGCCAGGACCACGCUCUGCCCAAGAGAUCCAUGGAUGGAGGCCUGAUGGCGAAGGGUCCCAGACAGAGGCCUGGAAUUGUUCAGGAGACAACUUUUGAUUUGGGAGGAGAUGUUCAUAGUGGGACAGCAUUACCAGCGAGCAAGAGCUCCUCCAGGCUGGACGGCGACAGGGGGCUGUCUGCCGCCAGCACCGCCGAGCGAGGGAUGGUGAAGCCCAUGGUCAGAGUGGAGCAGCAGCUGGACUACCGCAGGCAAGAAAGCAGAACUCAGGACGCUCCUGGGCCUGACCUAAUACUGCCUGCAAGCAUUGAAUUCAGGGAAAGUUCUGAAGAUUCAUUUUUAUCUGCCAUUAUAAAUUACACUAAUAGCUCUACAGUCCAUUUUAAGUUGUCACCUACAUACGUGUUAUAUAUGGCGUGUCGGUAUGUAUUGUCCAGCCAGUACAGACCCGAUGUCAGUCCCGCAGAACGGACGCACAAAGUGAUUGCCAUUGUCAACAAGAUGGUGAGCAUGAUGGAAGGGGUCAUUCAGGAAGUAGACCAGGUUGAUCAGAAACAGAAGAAUAUCGCAGGGGCGCUUGCUUUCUGGAUGGCGAAUGCAUCUGAGCUGCUCAACUUCAUAAAGCAGGACCGAGAUCUGAGUCGAAUCACGCUGGAUGCCCAGGAUGUUCUAGCACACUUGGUUCAGAUGGCCUUUAAAUACCUGGUUCACUGUCUUCAGUCAGAACUGAAUAAUUACAUGCCAGCCUUUCUGGACGACCCCGAAGAGAACAGUCUGCAGAGACCCAAAAUAGACGACGUGCUGCACACGCUCACGGGGGCCAUGUCGCUGCUGCGCCGCUGCCGGGUCAACGCCGCGCUGACCAUCCAGCUCUUCUCCCAGCUCUUCCACUUCAUCAACAUGUGGCUGUUCAACAGGCUGGUGACCGACCCCGAGUCGGGGCUGUGCUCCCACUACUGGGGCGCCAUCAUCCGCCAGCAGCUUGGGCAUGUGGAGGCCUGGGCGGAGAAGCAGGGCCUGGAGCUGGCGGCCGACUGCCACCUCAGCAGGAUCGUGCAGGCAACCACUUUGCUCACGAUGGAUAAGUACGCACCCGAUGACAUCCCAAAUAUAAACAGUACCUGCUUCAAGUUAAAUUCGCUGCAGCUUCAAGCCUUACUUCAGAACUACCACUGUGCACCCGAUGAGCCUUUUGUCCCUACAGACCUGAUGGAGCAUGUGGUGGCUGUGGCGGAGAACACAGCCGACGAGCUGGCACGCAGUGACGGGCGGGAGGUGCAGCUGGAGGAGGACCCCGACCUGCAGCUGCCGUUCCUUCUGCCCGAGGACGGCUACUCCUGCGACGUUGUCAGAAACAUCCCAAACGGCUUACAGGAGUUUCUGGACCCUUUGUGCCAGAGAGGAUUUUGCAGGUUAAUUCCUCACCCGCGCUCGCCAGGCACGUGGACGAUAUAUUUUGAAGGUGCAGAUUAUGAGAGUCACCUUACGCGGGAGAACACGGAACUGGCUCAGCCUCUGAGGAAAGAACCGGAAGUAAUCACGGUGACCCUCAAAAAGCAGAACGGGAUGGGCCUCAGCAUUGUCGCAGCAAAGGGUGCUGGUCAAGACAAACUUGGAAUCUACGUCAAGUCUGUUGUAAAAGGAGGUGCUGCUGACGUGGACGGGCGGCUGGCUGCAGGUGACCAGCUCCUCAGCGUGGAUGGACGGAGUCUGGUAGGACUCUCUCAAGAAAGGGCAGCAGAACUGAUGACAAGGACAAGCUCCGUGGUGACGCUGGAAGUAGCAAAGCAAGGAGCCAUUUAUCACGGUCUUGCUACCCUGCUCAAUCAGCCGUCGCCCAUGAUGCAGAGAAUUUCAGAUCGUCGUGGAUCAGGUAAACCCCGACCAAAGAGUGAAGGUUUUGAGCUCUAUAACAAUUCAGCUCAAAACGGGUCCCCGGAGAGCCCUCAGAUGCCUUGGGCAGAAUACAGCGAACCAAAGAAGCUGCCUGGCGACGACAGGCUGAUGAAAAACAGGGCUGACCACCGCUCCAGCCCCAACGUCGCAAAUGAGCCCCCUAGUCCCGGCGGGAAAGGCGCCUAUACCUCUGGGACAGCGGCCAAGAUAACGUCCGUCUCCACUGGAAACCUCUGCGCUGAGGAGCAGACCCCUCCUCCCCGAGCCGAGGCCUACCCCAUCCCGACGCAGACCUACACCAGGGAGUACUUCACCUUCCCGGCCUCCAAGUCCCAGGACCGCACGGCUCCUCCUCAGGACCAGUGGCCCCGUUACGAGGAGAAGCCCCACAUGCACACGGACAGCAGCCACUCCAGUACUGCAGUCCAGCGCGUGACCCGGUCCCAGGAGGAGCUCCGGGAGGAUGUCGCGUACCACCUGGAGCGGCAGAGGGUGGAGGCGGCGAUGGAGCGCAGGUCUGACGGCGGCGACGCGUGGCUCAACCAGGGCUCCUCGCUGGGCUCCAGCACCUCCAGCCAGGAGCACCUGGGCCCCCCUUCCAAGGCGGGCACCCCCGCGUCCACGCUCACCAAGAGCGGCCCUGGGCGCUGGAAGACCCCAGCCGCCUCCCCGCCGGUGCGGACCGACCCGCCCCCCGGGCACUACGGCGAUGGGGACGGAGUCCCCGCGGACUCGUCCCUCCCGCCGCCUCCCACCGGCGCCCAGGCGGCUGCAGAGCGGAAGAAGCGGGAGGAGCAGCAGCGCUGGUACGAGAAGGAAAAGGCGCGCCUGGAGGAGGAGCGCGAGCGCCGGCGGCGGGAGCAAGAGCGCAGGCUGGGCCAGCUUCGGACGCAGGCGCCGCCCCCCGGGCCCCCGCCCCCCGGGCCGCCCUCGCCCGCCGCCCCGCCGGCCCCCGCCCGCGCCCCGGACACCGUCAUCCGGGAGCUGCAGCCCCAGCAGCAGCCGCGCACCAUUGAGCGCCGGGACUUGCAGUACAUCACGGUUAGCAGGGAGGAGCUGGCCUCGGGGGACAGCCUGUCCCCCGACCCCUGGAAGCGGGACGCGCGGGAGAAGCUGGAGAAGCAGCAGCAGCUGCACAUCGUGGACCUGCUGAGCCGCGAGAUCCAGGAGCUGCAGGGCAAGGCCGAGCGCUCGGCCGAGGAGAGCGACCGCCUGCGCAAGCUCAUGCUGGAGUGGCAGUUCCAGAAGCGGCUGCAGGAGUCCAAGCAGAAGGACGAGGACGACGAGGAGGAGGAGGACGACGACGUGGACACCGUGCUGCUCAUGCAGCGCCUGGAGGCCGAGCGCAGAGCGCGGUUGCAGGACGAGGAGCGGCGGCGGCAGCAGCAGCUGGAGGAGAUACGGACCCGGGAGGCUGAGCAGCGGGCCCGGCAGGAGGAGCAGCGGGCCAGGCGCGAGGCCGAAGAAAAGGUCCUGGUGCUCUGAGGGCGAGGGGUGCGCGGCUGAGGGGCCCGGGACGCGCAAGGGGGCCGCCGCUGAAACUGGAGCCCGGUCAGCCAGCCGGGCCCCGGCCCUGUCCUCUGAGCUGUCAUCCCCUUUUCCCCCCGGGCUGUCCCCCUCCCCCUUCUCCAGGCUGCUGUCCCCCCUCCCCCUUCGCCUCCUGGCUGUCCCCCCUCCCCCUUCUCCUCGGGCUGUCCCCCCUCCCCCUUUUCCUCCAGGCUGUCCCCCCUCCCCCUUUUCCUCCAGGCUGUCCCCCCUCCCCCUUCUCCUCCUGACUCUCCCCCCUCCCCCUUCUCCUCCUGACUCUCCCCCCUCCCCCUUCUCCUCCUGGCUCUCCCCCCACCCCCUCUCCUCCGAGUCUUGUCGCUCAAGCUUGUGGACUGUGGGGCCUCUGUGUGCUCGGGGCUCUGGUCUUUGCUGGACGGGGUCCAGCUUGUCACUGUGAAGGUGACAAGUGUCCAGUUCACAGGGAGGUCGGGCCGUGGGAAGGACAGGAAACUAGGAAGUCACUGUUAACCUUAAGGGUUUCAAAUCGGUUAUUUCAUGACUUAAUUCUGGUCAGGGGUGAAGAGAGCAAAUGGCUUAUAGAAAACACGAUACAAGGACAUUUAAUUUAGUGUGUAAUCUGGUAGAUAUCCCGAGUUAUUGCUUUGUUUCCGUAUGUGGGUUUCUGAGAUUCAGGUAAUCCUUUUAAUUGCCUUUAACAUGACGGCACACUUGAGCUCCCCUGAGCAAUGGGCGCUUGGUGAUGCUGCCCUCCAGGCCCUGCCGUCUGUGGGCGCGUCGCCGCGGCUCUGGGCUCGCUUCUGGGUCUCUCCAGGGCUGGCCGGUCCCUGGACAAGGUGUGGGAGAAGCUGGCCUUCCGUUACUUCCCUUCUGUGAAGGCGGGAGCUCUGAGGUCAUGGCUCCUGGUGGGGAAAGUCCAGUGAGCACCCUCACGGCGCACCCUGCAGGAGGAAGCUUGGGGUGCUCUGGCAGUGAUGGGGUCUGUGGGGACGCGACAGGCAGAGAGUAAGACAGUGGAAAUGACGGAUGACUUGGUUAAGUGCGAGCCAGGUAGAUGACGUGGGCACACCUGCACUGAAACGAGCCAUGUCUACGGUCUGUUGGCCUUUGCCAUUCCGGUCAUCGUGCUGUCGGCUGUGCCUGAAGAGCUUGUGCGCUGUUCCCAGAGUCGGGUUUCGUGGUGAGGCUCCCCUCGAGCUUGUCAAAGUCAGUAAUACGUCUAAGGAAACGGGGUUUCCACAGUUUGAGCCACUAGACCCGGGUUUUACAGUGUCUGUCGUGCUGCUGUCCCGGGGCUGCUCGCAGGGUGUGUUUUCCUGGCCGGGCCCCUCAGCUGUCUGUCCCACCUCUGCCUGAGCCCUCGGCCACCUGGGAGUAGUGCCCACGGGGAGGCGGCCAGGCCGUGUUCUCCACGUUGGGAAAUUCCUGGGUUAUUUGACUUUUUUCCAGUGUGUGUUCUCACAACUCGUGAUUACGUCAGGUGCACCUGUGUGUGGGUAACUGCUUCUAUAAUUGAGCACUCAGUGUAAAAGGAAGCCGAAUAACCUAUUUUUUAUAGAGAAUGUGCAAAAUUGAUGGGUUUCUCUGUCCUAGGAAAACGUGCCGUUCACUUUUGGGUAGAAUGAAGUCUUCUCGGUUCAUGUGCCUGUAUACCUGCUCUUAGUGUAACUGAAAGAACAUGUUGUGGUUUCCCUAAAAUGUGACCAAGUGAGCUUUGUUCACAUAAUACUAAGAUUCCUCACAACUCCACUUAAGCUCUGCGGAGGUCGUUCCAGAUUUAAUUCCCCACUCUAAGAGAACGCUCAUUUUGUGUAGAAAAUAAGGUAAAAAUGUUUUUCCUUCAGGGUGUCUCAACAUAGUGUAAGAAGAUGAAGUGAGAAAUGGGGCCCAGGGCCAGGAUUGAGGCUGGCAUCUGUCCUUAGCGUUUUCUCCCUCAGAAGGUGAAGCUUUGCCCACUGUGUACGUGUGUGUGUGUGUGUGUGUGUGUGUGUGGUGUGGAGGGAGUAGGGAGAAGACACAGUGUGCAAAGUGAAAUGGGGACUAAAAACUUUAAUCCUAAUGCCAGCAAGGCCCCUAAAAUUGGUCCCCUUCCGUUGAAUGAAUUUAAAGUCCACUGUACUUCCGUUCUGUGUGCAUUGUACAUUGAACAUUCCUCAAGUUAAGGCAGAUUACUGUUUGAUCUUUCAGCUCUUUUCUUCUUCACUUUUUUCUUGUGUUCUGAAACUUUUGUCAAUCUUUAACAAAACUGUGCUGUUACUUUUUUCAAUGUUAACACUGUCAACUGUAGUUUGUGCAGAUAUAUGUCAGAAAAAAUGUACAGUCUGUGUCAAAAUAUAUUUGAAUAUCUUGUUUCCUGGCUCUCUCAAUUUUCUGUCUGGCAGGGAGUUUAUUAAGAUUUGAAAUACCAAUUAAAAACUGUGGAAAGC